This 469-nucleotide ribosomal RNA is filed under the name uncultured bacterium. RNAcentral describes it as "partial 16S ribosomal RNA". It matches the Rfam family "Bacterial small subunit ribosomal RNA", at positions 28 to 507 of the family's 1533-position model. The record is from RNAcentral.
GACGAACGCUGGCGGCGUGCUUAACACAUGCAAGUCGAACGGAAAGGCCCUGCUUUUGUGGGGUGCUCGAGUGGCGAACGGGUGAGUAACACGUGAGUAACCUGCCCUUGACUUUGGGAUAACUUCAGGAAACUGGGGCUAAUACCGGAUAGGAGCUCCUGCUGCAUGGUGGGGGUUGGAAAGUUUCGGCGGUUGGGGAUGGACUCGCGGCUUAUCAGCUUGUUGGUGGGGUAGUGGCUUACCAAGGCUUUGACGGGUAGCCGGCCUGAGAGGGUGACCGGCCACAUUGGGACUGAGAUACGGCCCAGACUCCUACGGGAGGCAGCAGUGGGGAAUAUUGCACAGUGGGUGGAAGCCUGAUGCAGCAACGCCGUGUGCGGGAUGACGGCCUUCGGGUUGUAAACCGCUUUCGCUCAUGACGAAGCUUUGUGUGACGGUAGUGGGUAAAGAAGCACCGGCUAACUACGUG